AUGAAAAUGAAGAUGAAGACAAGGUUCAGGGCAAGCCUGACUCAUUUAUCCACGAUGAUCAUGCUUCUGUUUCAAACCACGAACACACAAUCACUGCCCAAUAUUUAGAAUCAAUCAAGAGUCUACCAACUGGUCCUGGGAAAUUCAAAAUACCUGUCUUGUCUGAUAAAAUAGAUAAGAAUGUGUACUCUCAAGUCUUCAAUAAUGAUACUGACUAUCAGAAUGACUCAUUUUGUGUGGACGAAGAAGUAUGGGAGGAGUAUGAUUGUUCUGAAGAUGAGAAAACUUUUGAA
This 293-nucleotide long non-coding RNA is filed under the name Bemisia tabaci. RNAcentral's name for it is "lncRNA ENSASIAIIG004342". The record is from RNAcentral. Lineage: Eukaryota; Metazoa; Arthropoda; Insecta; Hemiptera; Aleyrodidae.